AGUUCGUGGAGUGAUCUGUCUGCUUAAUUGCGUUUCACUAAGGGCCUAUAAUUUAACGUGUGUUGCGGCACUUUGACCCCUCGUCUUCCUCCCAUUCAUUUGGUUGGGUCGAGCGCGUGUCUUAGUUUUGUUUAGCUCGCACAAUUAGGUCCUGAAAGCAACGAACGUGACCGCAACCUCUUGUUGCCUUUAUACCAAACACAUUUUUUUAUAAAAAGUUCGCCUUCGGGUGUCUCUUUUUUUAAUUUGUGAAAAAAGGCUUUUUAAACUAGAGGGACCGCUGUUACUUUCUUAAACCAGAGGAAGGUUGCGGCAAUAACAGGUC
RNAcentral lists this ribosomal RNA (325 nucleotides) under Foraminifera sp. RNAcentral describes it as "partial small subunit ribosomal RNA". The record is from RNAcentral. Lineage: Eukaryota; Foraminifera.